This 1370-nucleotide ribosomal RNA is filed under the name Campylobacter jejuni. RNAcentral's name for it is "bacterial SSU rRNA". It matches the Rfam family "Bacterial small subunit ribosomal RNA". Lineage: Bacteria; Pseudomonadati; Campylobacterota; Epsilonproteobacteria; Campylobacterales; Campylobacteraceae. The record is from RNAcentral.
GCAAGUCGAACGAUGAAGCUUCUAGCUUGCUAGAAGUGGAUUAGUGGCGCACGGGUGAGUAAGGUAUAGUUAAUCUGCCCUACACAAGAGGACAACAGUUGGAAACGACUGCUAAUACUCUAUACUCCUGCUUAACACAAGUUGAGUAGGGAAAGUUUUUCGGUGUAGGAUGAGACUAUAUAGUAUCAGCUAGUUGGUAAGGUAAUGGCUUACCAAGGCUAUGACGCUUAACUGGUCUGAGAGGAUGAUCAGUCACACUGGAACUGAGACACGGUCCAGACUCCUACGGGAGGCAGCAGUAGGGAAUAUUGCGCAAUGGGGGAAACCCUGACGCAGCAACGCCGCGUGGAGGAUGACACUUUUCGGAGCGUAAACUCCUUUUCUUAGGGAAGAAUUCUGACGGUACCUAAGGAAUAAGUACCGGCUAACUCCGUGCCAGCAGCCGCGGUAAUACGGAGGGUGCAAGCGUUACUCGGAAUCACUGGGCGUAAAGGGCGCGUAGGCGGAUUAUCAAGUCUCUUGUGAAAUCUAAUGGCUUAACCAUUAAACUGCUUGGGAAACUGAUAGUCUAGAGUGAGGGAGAGGCAGAUGGAAUUGGUGGUGUAGGGGUAAAAUCCGUAGAUAUCACCAAGAAUACCCAUUGCGAAGGCGAUCUGCUGGAACUCAACUGACGCUAAGGCGCGAAAGCGUGGGGAGCAAACAGGAUUAGAUACCCUGGUAGUCCACGCCCUAAACGAUGUACACUAGUUGUUGGGGUGCUAGUCAUCUCAGUAAUGCAGCUAACGCAUUAAGUGUACCGCCUGGGGAGUACGGUCGCAAGAUUAAAACUCAAAGGAAUAGACGGGGACCCGCACAAGCGGUGGAGCAUGUGGUUUAAUUCGAAGAUACGCGAAGAACCUUACCUGGGCUUGAUAUCCUAAGAACCUUAUAGAGAUAUGAGGGUGCUAGCUUGCUAGAACUUAGAGACAGGUGCUGCACGGCUGUCGUCAGCUCGUGUCGUGAGAUGUUGGGUUAAGUCCCGCAACGAGCGCAACCCACGUAUUUAGUUGCUAACGGUUCGGCCGAGCACUCUAAAUAGACUGCCUUCGUAAGGAGGAGGAAGGUGUGGACGACGUCAAGUCAUCAUGGCCCUUAUGCCCAGGGCGACACACGUGCUACAAUGGCAUAUACAAUGAGACGCAAUACCGCGAGGUGGAGCAAAUCUAUAAAAUAUGUCCCAGUUCGGAUUGUUCUCUGCAACUCGAGAGCAUGAAGCCGGAAUCGCUAGUAAUCGUAGAUCAGCCAUGCUACGGUGAAUACGUUCCCGGGUCUUGUACUCACCGCCCGUCACACCAUGGGAGUUGAUUUCACUCGAAGCCGGAAUACUAAAC